AUGAGAACAGAGCCAGUACAUUGGGCUAGGGCAUUUUUUCCUACAAGAACUAACUGUGAAUCAGUAGAUAAUAAUCUUUGUGAGUCAUUCAACAAUGCCAUUAUAGAAUCAAGGUUCUAUCCAAUUAUUUCACAGCAAGAGAUGAUAAGAAAGAAGAUGCUUGUUAGGGUGCAGGAGCAGAGAGCCAAAGGGGCAAAUUGGAAGGGCAAAAUUUGCCCAAAUAUUUUCAGGAAACUCAAGGUAAGUAUUAGAUUGACACAGUACAUUGAUGUGCUCUGGAAUGGCAAGGAGGGGUUUGAGGUGCAGCACAUGAAGGGCAGAAAAAAGAAAUACACAGUAAAUCUUGAAAAAAGGAUAUGCACUUGUGGUUACUUUCAACUGUCAGGUCUGCCUUGUUGUCAUGCUAUUGCAGCAAUUUACAAGAGUGGAAGAAAGGUAGAUGACUACAUAGACAAGUGCUACUGGAUUGAGACAUUCAACAAAAUUUAUGAGCAUUGUCUCCAGCCUGUUCUAGGAGAAGAAAACUGGCUUGUGUCUCAAAAUCCUAGGCCAGUAGCACCUGGAUACAUUGCUAUGCCAGGAGCAAGGAAGAAAAACAAUGGCAGGAGGAGAGAAGAGGGUGAAGCUCCAAAGGGGAAGAAAAUGAGCAAGCAUGGCAUACAGAUCACUUGUGGAUCCUGUGGGCAUAAGGGGCACAAUAAAAGUGGUUGUAAAAUGAAUGAAGAUAGAACACAGAAAACUAAAUCAUAUCUUGGGAAAAGAAGGAGAAAGCGAAGGGAAACAGAGGUACUACUAUGA
RNAcentral lists this ribosomal RNA (798 nucleotides) under Triticum aestivum (bread wheat). RNAcentral's name for it is "partial small subunit ribosomal RNA". The record is from RNAcentral. Lineage: Eukaryota; Viridiplantae; Streptophyta; Magnoliopsida; Poales; Poaceae.